Molecule: ribosomal RNA, 234 nt
Filed under: uncultured bacterium
Lineage: Bacteria
Description: partial 16S ribosomal RNA
Rfam family: Bacterial small subunit ribosomal RNA
Source: RNAcentral
GAUCAUGGCUCAGGAUGAACGCUAGCGACAGGCUUAACACAUGCAAGUCGAGGGGCAGCACAGGUAGCAAUACCGGGUGGCGACCGGCGCACGGGUGAGUAACGCGUAUGCAACUUACCUAUCAGAGGGGGAUAACCCGGCGAAAGUCGGACUAAUACCGCAUGAAGCAGGGGUCCCGCACGGGGAUAUUUGCUAAAGAUUCAUCGCUGAUAGAUAGGCAUGCGUUCCAUUAGG